This 253-nucleotide ribosomal RNA is filed under the name uncultured bacterium. RNAcentral's name for it is "partial 16S ribosomal RNA". It matches the Rfam family "Bacterial small subunit ribosomal RNA", at positions 524 to 776 of the family's 1533-position model. The record is from RNAcentral.
UACGAACCGUACAAACGUUAUUCGGAAUCACUGGGCUUAAAGGGUGCGUAGGCGGCCAUGUAAGUGAGGUGUGAAAUCCCUCGGCUCAACCGAGGAACUGCGCUUCAUACUGCAUGGCUUGAGGGAGACAGGGGUAAGCGGAACUGAUGGUGGAGCGGUGAAAUGCGUUGAUAUCAUCAGGAACACCGGUGGCGAAAGCGGCUUACUGGGUCUCUUCUGACGAUGAGGUACGAAAGCUAGGGUAGCGAACGGG